UCUUUCUUUCAUUCUUUGUUUGAUAGUUUUCUGCUUAUUUUUUUGCAGGUAUCUUCCCACUCCAUUUCGCCAACGCUCAUGUCAUCUCAAGGGUUUUUUCCGGUGGGUUCAUUUCUCAAGGUAAUUACACUGAUGAUGUAAACUCCAUGCUUCCUGACUUUAUUUAAAUUAGACCUACAAAGCACAUUCUUCUUCAGAUUAUUUGAAGCAGCAUCGUCGAUCUCUUCGCCAAAACUUUGGAAGGUUUGUGCAUAUUAUUUU
Molecule: RNA transcript, 261 nt
Organism: Erythranthe guttata (spotted monkey flower)
Lineage: Eukaryota; Viridiplantae; Streptophyta; Magnoliopsida; Lamiales; Phrymaceae
Source: RefSeq, a predicted model, not a curated record